Molecule: unclassified non-coding RNA, 330 nt
Filed under: soil metagenome
Description: partial contains 5.8S ribosomal RNA, internal transcribed spacer 2, and large subunit ribosomal RNA
Rfam family: 5.8S ribosomal RNA (bases 1-120)
Source: RNAcentral
GAUGAAGAACGUAGCGAAAUGCGAUAAGUAAUGUGAAUUGCAGAAUUCAGUGAAUCAUCGAAUCUUUGAACGCACAUUGCGCCCCCUGGUAUUCCGGGGGGCAUGCCUGUUCGAGCGUCAUUUCACCACUCAAGCCUCGCUUGGUAUUGGGCAACGCGGUCCGCCGCGUGCCUCAAAUCGUCCGGCUGGGUCUUCUGUCCCCUAAGCGUUGUGGAAACUAUUCGCUAAAGGGUGUUCGGGAGGCUACGCCGUAAAACAACCCCAUUUCUAAGGUUGACCUCGGAUCAGGUAGGGAUACCCGCUGAACUUAAGCAUAUCAAUAGCGGAGGA